UACAGAGGUCUCAAGCGUUGUUCGGAUUCAUGGGCGUAAAGGGUGCGUAGGCGGCGCGGUAAGUCGGGUGUGAAAUCUCGGGGCUUAACUCCGAAACUGCAUUCGAUACUGCCGUGCUUGAGGACUGGAGAGGAGACUGGAAUUUACGGUGUAGCGGUGAAAUGCGUAGAUAUCGUAAGGAAGACCAGUGGCGAAGGCGGGUCUCUGGACAGUUCCUGACGCUGAGGCACGAAGGCCAGGGGAGCAAACGGG
RNAcentral lists this ribosomal RNA (252 nucleotides) under uncultured bacterium. Its description in RNAcentral is "partial 16S ribosomal RNA". It matches the Rfam family "Bacterial small subunit ribosomal RNA", at positions 524 to 776 of the family's 1533-position model. The record is from RNAcentral.